Molecule: ribosomal RNA, 180 nt
Filed under: uncultured Glomeromycotina
Lineage: Eukaryota; Fungi; Glomeromycota
Description: partial small subunit ribosomal RNA
Rfam family: Eukaryotic small subunit ribosomal RNA (bases 68-180)
Source: RNAcentral
GGGUCAGCAGGUCGGUCGUGCCAAUGGUAUGCACUGGCCUUGCUGAUUCCUCCCUCUUGAUGAGCCGUAAUGCCAUUAAUUUGGUGUUGCCGGGGAAUCAGGACUGUUACUUUGAAAAAAUUAGAGUGUUUAAAGCAGGCUAACGCUUGAAUACAUUAGCAUGGAAUAAUGAAAUAGGAC